AUUUCUGAAACUUCCAUCAAUAAUUAAUGUCAACUGUGACAAAGCCAGAAAGUGCUCAUAGUCCAAACACUGUUCAACACGGGCUGGUGCCCAGCCUUCGAAUCAUAAUUUACAAAAUUCUAUUACUCUGUGCUCCCAGCACAGGCACAGCCAGGAGACAAGAGAAGGAAAAUGACUAACGUGGCUGCAAAUCUGCUGCUCGCAUGGCAUUUUGCUACAGAAGCAGGUCUGCACUGAGCGAUUUAAAGCCAUCUCGGUACAACCGCGACACUUUGGGAGUGCUCUGAAAUGUCCUGGUGUCAGCUCCUUGCCAUACUCCUCUCUGGGCUUAUUACAUGAACAGUACAAAGCUCCCCACAAGCUACACUGCCUUACAGAAGUUACAGAGAUAUCAGGUUGAAGAGCAGCUUUGUCCUCAUUUCUACUCUCGUCCAUCACAUGGAAUCCUGGACUAUUCUCAACUUCUUUCCCACAUACUUUGCCUACUCAAACGCUCCAGGAGGCUGAGAGGAGAAAAAGAACAAGAAAAAAAGAACGACUGAAAAGUACGUAGUUUCUUUUCGCUGACAAAAAUAUCCUUUCCCCAAUCUAACAGUUACUCAUGUUCCUCAGUGCCUCCCACCAGGGCCACCCUCACCCAGCAAUGAAUCAACACACAUUCCCAGCCUCUUGUCUCCUAUUCCAAGUGACUGCUGGCUACAGAGGCCAGUCUAGAAAUUCCUCAGAACAAAACCCAUAUCCCAGGGCCCGAUAAUCAUUUCCAAUAAUAUUCCUCUCGUUUAUACCAUGUAUCACAUAGUAAGCUAACUUUUGGCUGCAUUGGCCAAGGUGACUUGAGGUGAAUACAUUAGGGUGCAAUGUUAGGACUGAAAGGGCCUCCAGCAUCACACACAACACUCAGUACUUUCUGAAAUUGGGUCCUUGCAGCUCGGGAGCCAAUCUUCUCAAUUCUGUGUUCAAAAGCAUCACUUUGACUGCUAUAGUCAGCAAUGAUUGGAGUCAUUACACCAUGGAAGCCUACAAGUUCUACAAAUCAGAGAUAAUCCUCCCUGCCCCUUCAAAAGUCAGUGCUUGAACAUUUACCAGCAUGCAGAUUGUUUUCAGCUAUCUUAUAUGGACACUUACUGUGCUCCAGAGCCUAUAUUAACUGGCUCCUAUGCUCCAGUCUUCCUAGCAACCUAAAUCAAGACAACAAAAUUGCCAGAGCACCUCACUCUGACUUGCCUCAUUGCUUCAGCCCUUCUUCCUCUUUCACCUGAGAAUUCCCAGUCACUCUCCUAACAUAUGACCCAUUGCUCCUUACCAAGCCAAUGCUGGGUUCCUCGAGGAUGCCAUUAAAAAACCCUCCACAGUGUAUCAGGCAAGAGAAUUCUAUUUCUUUACUGCCCUUUCCAUGCCCACUACAGACUUGUUUCACAGAGCUUUGCUCUUUGAAUAAGCUAUAUGAAAACACUCAUAUUCAAUUUUUUUUGAGACAGGGUCCCUCUAUGUAGCCAUGGAUAUCCUGGAAACUCAUUAUGUAGAGCAGGCUGUCCAGGAACAAACGAGGUCCUGCCUCCUGAGUGCUGGGAUCAAAGGCAUACAUCACCAUACCCAGCAUAUUCAAUAUUUUAACUUAUAAAACAUGGGCUAGAGUCAUUUUGAAAUCACUGUGCUAUGAGAGGACCAUUUUCUUGCUUCUGAAAGCCCUGGUUCUACUUCAGAAAGAGUAUUUUCCAAACAUGUUUGCUCACACAAGGAGCAAAUGGCUGAACUCAGAGAUAAACUAAAAGACAGAACUUGUUACAAUGCCUCCAUCUAGUUACUUGGCCAUGGGUUGAGGGAACCUCAGUAUUGCAAUAUCAAGCAGAAUACCGUAACUGGCCAGCUGAGUGGACAAGGUUUUAGUCACUGGAACUCCCAGAGGCAGUAGUCAGUUUCCCUGUUAACCAUUUAAAACCAACAAUGUCCUCAGGACCAAACUCCAUUUGGAUAUUGAAAGUCUCUAGUUUAACUUUACACACGAGUUAGGAGAUUUUUAACAGGACACAAUAAUGACUUGUAUUAAUGAUGAAAAACAGUUCCUCUUAAUUAUCCAAACUAUAUUGCACACAUAUAUAAAUAGUAUCCAUAAAAGUAAAGUAAAAUUCCAAAAUAGCAUUCUGAUGACUUGGUGUUUGUAGAAAGUCCCCAAAAAUGUCCUAACCAAGGAGCUCAUUUGCAAGUGUCCCUCAGUCUAGAGCAAUGGCCAGCUGGUAACCAAACAAGAAAAUGUUGGGCAUCUCUAAACUACAGCUCAUCACCUUUCUUAUUUAUGUGUUCAUUUAUCCCAAGCCUAUCUGAAGUAUAACUGACAAAUUAAAAUUAUACAAAUUUAAGCUGCUCAUGGGAUACCUGAUGCAUAUACACAUUGUGAAAUCAUUAAAAUAAUCAAACAAGUCUGAGUAUCGGCAACAAUAUGGUGAAUCCAGAGGAUAUUAUACUAAAUGAAAUAAGCCAGAUAUAAAAUGUGAAUACUGUACUGUUCAGUUAAAUGGGAAAACUAAAAAACCUUGAUCACAUAAAAACAGGGAAUGGUGGUAUUUAUGGGGCAGGGUCAGUCAAUGUAUCUAAAUAUUAUUUAUAAAGUGAAUAUGUUCUGGAAAGUUUAUCUGUUCUGUGUUAAAUAUAAUUAAUAUACUACAUACUUAAAAUCUGCCAAGAGAAAACAUUUUAAAUGUUCUUACCACAUACACAAAAAUGAUAACUAUGUAAGGUGAUGAGUUGACUGGUGUCUAAAUCAGGAUUUCUAUUCCUGGACAAAACAUCAUGACCAAGAAGCAAGUUGAGGAGGAAAGGGUUUAUUCGGCUUACACUUCCAUACUGCUGUUCAUCACCAAGGGAAGUCAGGACUGGAACUCAACCAGGUCAGGAAGCAGGAGCUGAUGCAGAGGCCAUGGAGAGAUGUUCUUUACUGGCUUGCCUCCCUUGGCUUGCUCAGCCUUCUCUCUUAUAGAACCAAGACCACCAGCCCAGAGAUGGUCCCACCCACAAGGGAACCUCCCCCCUUGAUCACUAAUUGAGAAAAUGCCUUACAGCUGGAUCUCAUGGAGGCAUUUCCUCAACUGAAGCUCCUUUCUCUGUGAUAACUCCAGCCUGUGUCAAGUUGACACAAAACUAGCCAGUACAACUGGUACUGAGAGCAUCUUUCUUAGGUCUGAAGACUCUCUGGCCUUUAAGCUAAGAAAGUUCUUGAACAAAGUCAGGUUAGCAUUGUGCCCAGGCUUGAAAUGUUGAACUGUUUCUAUCCAGUACCAGCUUAUCAGAAACCAUCAAGAUUACCUAUUAUCUCCUUCUUGAUUUGACUAAACUAUGUCAUUAAGUACCCAGAUAAUUUACAUACCAAGUGUUUGACCUUAAAGUCACUCUAAGGGUCAUUUGUGGAAGCUAGGAAAGGCUGUAUUUUAAGCCACAUUUGUUGUUCUUGACUUGUGGUUAAAGAAGUUAUAGUCUAAUUCUAUUCAUCCUAAUUAUGACAGAAGGAAAAUCUAUUUCUCAUUUCAGAAGAAUGCAAUUAUCAAGUGAUGAAACACUCUCAAAUUACAUAUGAGUUUGCAACAACUUCAUUAAAAUUUUCAUCAUCAUUUUAAUGGUUUAUUGAAGCAUUCACUGAAAUGUUUCAAAUAUACUAAGUUUAUUUCCUUUUUUAUACUAUGAUAUCAGGGAUCAGGAUUAGAGUAACCACCUGAAUAAUUCCAUGAUUUUGUUGUCAUUGUCCAGGGGGGAAAAACGCAUAUUAAGAGCAAAACUAAAAAUGGAAAAAGUGAAACCUUUCAAAUUCUAGUCACAAUACUUAUUUAAGUGCUUAUCAGAGGACCACAUAGGCAAAAAUGUUACUUCAGUUAGAUCUAUAUAAAUGCUGUCUCCAAAUAGUCUCAUUCUCACAGACUAAGUCACAGAGCAGUCUUAUGCAGAGGGCUUGACAUGAGUUAAGUUUUACUGCCACAAUACAACCUUGCAUGAAUCCACCCAUGCAGUUGCUCAAAUUCUGUGGGAGGCAGGAAGGCAUGUCUUGCUCAUAUCAGACUCUCUCCAACUCUCUAAGAUGCCCCAUGGGGAGCUGGCAUUCAAGAACAUAUUUUUGUACUAGAUGCGUGGUUUUAUUUUAGUUUGUGCCCUACUAACUCUAUGAAAGACCGUGUUUUAUUUACCAAUGUAAAUAUUUGUAAUUAGCUCCUUUAAAAAUAAGUGACUUUUAAAAAUGGAUAUUUAUUAGUUUAGUGUGCGAGAGUGUGUGUGUGUGUGAGAGAGAGAGAGAGAGAGAGAGAGAGGGAGCAUAUGUGUGAAAAUCAGAGGACAACUUAUAUGAUUUGAUCUGGGACAAAUAUGUGGUGCCAGGGAUUUAACUCAGGUCAUAGUAGCAAGAGUCUGCUUGCCCCUUGAGCCAUGCUUGCCCACUGAGCCACACCACUGGCCUCCUUUGAAUUUUUAAUGAGUUACAUACAUUCAAUUAGAUGCAUAUUUAGAAAACAUUGAAAAAUCUUGACAGUUCCAUUUUUUAAAAAUCUGUAUAGUGUUCCCAACAGCAGUAGCUAUACUAAGUGAAGAGGUAAGUUAAAAAGGAAGGGAAGAGAGCGAGGAAGAAGAUGGAAAGGGAGAGAAGAGGGGAGGAAGAGAGAGAGGAAAGGGGGAUGAGGGAAAGAAGACAGGAGGCAUGGAAGAACGGAGAGGGGAAGGGAAGAUGAGUAGAGGAGGAAGUUGUUUAAGAUGUCACAAACAUGGAUGGACUCAAGUGCUCUUUAAGUUCUGUUUCUUAGUGUCUCCUAGACAUAACAGGACCACAGGACCAAGGCUCUCAUAAACUGAUAACAUCUGUGGUCACCCACACAAGACCUGCACAGGCUCAAGCCUCUCAAUAUUCUAGCAUGGAUUGAGAAGGCAUUAAUGAACUACCACCCCUAACAGAGGAACUAUGGACCAGCAAUGGCUUCUGGGAGAAGAAGAGUCAGUUUUCUUUAAGGGUGUGACCCCUGGUAGGUUGGCCACCCUCUAGUGGAUAGCCCCACAAUCGGGGGUAUAUAGACAGCACGACUGCACACAAAGUCACAGGGGUGUAGGAAGGUGAGGGUGCAUCUGGGAAGAACUGAGAGAAGGACUGGAAAGCUAAUAUGAAAAAAAUACAUUAUAUAAAAUUCUCAAAGAUUAAAAAAAUCUGUCUCUUCAAAUGUAUUUUCACAUAAACUUUUAACAUGCCACAGAAUUCCAGCAGACCUAACUGCCUGCCUCUUGUAGGGAAUUUUCAUUUCUUUCAACAAAAAGCAGAUGCAACCCUUACUACCCAUGCAAGCAUCAACAUCUCCUUCAGCAAACAAAUUAGCAAGGAAUAGAAUAACCAUUUUUCAGUUGUCUUCAGAUUUUUAUUUUUCAGGCCAUAAUCUAUGAAACCCCUGAGCAGAGGAAGCAGGAGACUGUAUUCCACAAUUGUGGAUGAGAAUACUUUCAAUCAUAUGGGAAUUUCCUUGUUGAGCUUGUCUGCAGAUAUGUGUCCUCAAGUUCAGUGCACUCUCUUAGCAAGGAAAGAUUUUCCUCUUUGGGUCACUGGCGCACAUUGCAUUCUGAGCAGGUCCCCGUUUACUCCACUGUCUGGUUAAUGUCUACCCAAACUAUCCAAAAACCAUCUGCAACUCAGCUAACCACCUAACAACACACAUCACUAGGACCCAUUAUCUUUUAUAAUGUUGACUCUUGGUAUCCAAGGCCUGUGGUCCAGACAGACUAUUUAAAGGCAUUAAAAUAACAACAGAGUUGGCAGCUGUGGGUAUAGCCACCAAGACUACUAUCGGGUCACAAGGCCAGAUGGAACAGAUGCCAGGGACAAGACUAAAAAAGCAGAGAGGAGAUUCAUUUAAGAACUUUUGAAGCACACUAGGCAGGGAAAGCCAGGAUUUUUGAGAGAACCGAUAACUAGCACAGUGUGAAUUAUUAACACAUUGGUACCUUAAAAGAAUCGUACUAUCCCAAGGUCCCUAACCAACUGUUGAGUUGACCUUUGCAUUUUAUUUCCUUUCUUGUCAAAUUAUAUCUAGGACAAGGUUAAAAUUUUCAGUGUAAUUUUUUUAAGCAUAGUACUGAGGCUAGGAAGAUGACUCAGCAGUUAAAAGCACUUGUUCUUGCACAGAAACAGCAUUUGAUUCUAAGGAUGAACCAGACUUAUGUAUGCAUCUGCAGAGUGUGAAACAGACACACUCCUUAGAUACCAGCUGCUCAAAUCUGAUGCUUUGGGAAGGAGGCACCUCCUCCUCAGCACUUGUGAGCAGGUGGCACCCUCUGCCUCCAAACACACAUGCACCAGGCACCAGACUUCUGCAUUCGGCCCUUCCUUAUUCCUCUUGUCGUUUUUUAAAUAUUUAAGUUCCACCUAGCAGGGAUUUAAGUAAAUACAACACAGUUAUGCAGAGGACUGAAACACAAUGAUUCCUUUCAUGUGGCUGCAUUUCAAUGAACUGCAAUAAAGGUAAUAGAAGAACUGCAUAAAGGUAGGAAAAAUGAAGGAGACUUCAGGAGUAAAGUAAAAUAGGGAGGGGGUAAAAGGUGGGUAAAGGGGGCCUGGAGAGAUGGCUCCAUGGUUAAGAGCACUGAUUGCUCCUCCAGAGGUCUUGAGUUCAAUUCCCAGCAACUACAUGGUGGCUCACAACCAUCUGUAAUGGGAUCUGAUACCCUCUUCUGAUGUGUCUAAAGACAGCUACAGUGUACUCACAUACAUAAAAUAAAUAAUAUUUUAAAAAAUAAAAUCUGGGCCUUUUGUAUGUGCCUGUAACAUCUGUACUCAAGAGUGUAGGCGAGCAGGCCAUAGGGAAAGCUAUGUCAAGACUGACAUAUGAGUGAGCGGGGAGGGGAUAGGGGGUUUUUGGAGGGGAAACCAGGAAAGGGGAUCACAUUUGAAAUGUAAAUAAAGAAAAUAUCUAAUACAAAAAAAAAAAAACCUAACAUCUGAAAGAAGCCAGUUGGCAGAAAAAGACUAGAAGUCCUUCUAGAUCUGGCUACAUUCAACAAACAGCAUUUCCCACAAACAGGACCACGGUCUACAUAUAUGGGAGAGGAGAGGCGAGUGCUAUGUGAAUGACCUAUACAGGGGUCUCAUGCCCAGCAAGUCUUAGGUACAUGCUUCUCCCUCCGCUCACUCCUUAGCCGAUUCUCAUUCUGACACAUGCUUCCUUUUCUUAAUAAAUGGUUGCCAUUCCUAUUCAUAACCAUUUGACCCCAGAGCAGGAUCCUGGAAACGUUAGCAGGCAUCCUGGAAGUCUAUCUGUCCUUACAAUAUUUGGAGAACCAUCAGCAGGAAGGUAUGGUCUGUGCUGUUUCUAAUUUCUCACUUCCUAAUAUGCCGACGUGGCCAGUUUUGUUUUCCCAGAGUGCCUGGAGAUCUUGCGAGGGUAGGGUGCCCCUCCAUUUCUCUUGUCUCCUUUCUACCCUUUCGUUCUUCCUGAGUUAACUGUGAGCCACAGCCACAGCUGAAGACCCAAAGUGUUCUAGGACCCUCUCUGCUAUUCUACAAGAAUAUUAGCUGAAUUUAUGCUGGGAUAAAAGAGUGGUCUUAACAUUUGUGGUCUGGACCCACGUGGGUGAUAUAAGGUACCAAAAGAAAAUGGCAUUUCAAUAUUUUUCAGACUUAAUCUUGAGGGAGAGAGACGAUGUCGAUAAUUAGUUAAAACAGAAGCAUAGAAAUGGAUAAGUACAGAACUGUUGGGCAUUCAAACCAAAACUCUCUAACCCUCUUGUAACUGUGGAAAGACAGCUGGCUGCCUAAGAAAACAGGCUGAGGGAGCCCUGAGGAGCAAGUAAGUAGAGUUCUUCCACAGCCUUUGCUUCAGCUCCUGUCUCCAUAUUAUUGCCUUGCAUUCCUGACUUCCUUAGAUAAUGGACCACAAGCUGUAAGAUGAAAUGAACCCUUCCUUUCCCACAUUGAUUUUAGUCAUGGGGUUUUAUCACAGCAAUAGAAACUGCAUGCCAUGUGUUUUAUGCAAACCCCUUCAAGAGGGUCCAACAGGAUAAAGGGAUGCAACAACAACAACAACAACAACAACAACAACAACAAUAAUAACAAACAGGGAGGGAACUGGGUGCUGCAGGGCAGCAUGGAGCAAGCUUCCCCCAUUCAUCUACUCCUGCGUCUACAGCACUGCCCUUAAGGCAAUUCCUGGGCCCCCAGGGAUAAUUAGUGCCCAUGUUCCUUCUCUGUAGCAUCCCUAAGGAUGCUUGAAACAUCACUGCACACUCAGUACAUACUGGCCACACCUAAAUAUGUCUCCUCUCUUGGUUUUCUCGGCCACCUGGGACUUUCAAAAACCUAAUCCCUCCUCUCCCCCCAUCAAAAAUGGCUCUUGUCUUCCUGCACAUCCCAAAUACAAAAGACUUCUGCCAGCCCUGCUGCUUUACUUUGCAUUGCUUUGCUUUCACUGCCCAAAGACUCAGGGUAAAACUUGCUAGCCCAGAUAGCCACUGUCAACAAAAGAAAAAGCUCUCACCUCACGGGAACAAAAAACGUACUUUAUUCUGGAGCCAAAUCCAUGGGACCAGGGAUAGGGAACAGAGACUCAGAUUUUUCCAAAUAAACAAGAUUCCAGUCAGGCAGCAAUUUCAUGACGUUUUUAUAGUGACAAAAUAAAGUCAUAAGAUGGCACACUUUUUAAAUGUUUUGGUGGGUACAUCAGGCAGGAGGGUUACAGCAAAGUAGAGAACUUAGCUGCAGACCUUGGAUGCUAAUAGCAUUCUUAGCCCUUGGGCUAGUCGGAAAACUCUUGUUUAAACAUUCCAAAGAUUUGUUAAGUGGCCAGAAAGAUACUAAAUUCCUACAAGUGAGCACAGUAAAUGACUGGGAAGUGGACUAAAGAUGCCCCAGGAUAAUUUUUUCCUGGACUUGUAACAUUGCAACCUCUCUGUAUCACUGAAGUUCUAAUCAUCCCAUCACCACCUUUCCAGAAUUCUCCUCCAUGUUGUGCUAGCCUAGCAAAUUCCCAGAGGAACCCAGGCCCCUCUCAUUCAGUAAUUCAGCUCUGCCUUCUCAGUGUUGAACAACCAAGGCCUGAAAAGAGACCAGCCAAACAAGAUUAACACUAUGUACUUAAGGGACCCAGUGAGAUAGACAGACAGGAAAACAGAAGGCAUCUUAACCAAAGAUAAGGGGAUACAACCUUCAGUGUCAAGUGUGGUUGUACACUGUUUGUUUUCAGGUAACUGAAUAUAUGAUGUCUUCUCUUUGCCCUGAAGA
This is a long non-coding RNA of Mus musculus (house mouse), 9226 nucleotides long. RefSeq annotates it as predicted gene 45645. The transcript has 3 exons. NCBI's taxonomy places the organism in Eukaryota, Metazoa, Chordata, Mammalia, Rodentia, Muridae. The record is from RefSeq and is a predicted model, not a curated record.